This 183-nucleotide ribosomal RNA is filed under the name ascomycete sp. VTT D-041022. Its description in RNAcentral is "partial 18S ribosomal RNA". It matches the Rfam family "Eukaryotic small subunit ribosomal RNA", at positions 1652 to 1831 of the family's 1831-position model. The record is from RNAcentral. Lineage: Eukaryota; Fungi; Ascomycota.
CCUGCCCUUUGUACACACCGCCCGUCGCUACUACCGAAUUGAAUGGCUCAGUGAGGCGUCCGGACUGGCCCAGAGAGGUGGGCAACUACCACUCAGGGCCGGAAAGCUCUCCAAACUCGGUCAUUUAGAGGAAGUAAAAGUCGUAACAAGGUCUCCGUUGGUGAACCAGCGGAGGGAUCAUUA